This is a long non-coding RNA of Etheostoma spectabile (orangethroat darter), 482 nucleotides long. RefSeq lists it as uncharacterized. The transcript has 3 exons. The record is from RefSeq and is a predicted model, not a curated record. Lineage: Eukaryota; Metazoa; Chordata; Actinopteri; Perciformes; Percidae.
CAAGGGCAUUUGUUUAUCUUGCUGUCCCACCCAGUGUCCAUCACUAGCGUGACACUCGGCCACAUAACAAAGAGCCAGUCCCCAUAUGAAUCCAUCGCCAGUGCACCGAGGAAAUUUUCUAUCUAUGGAAUGAGGACUGCUACUGAGGAAGGAACCUAUUUGGGAACACUGGUCUAUGAUCAAGACGGCGCAGCAUUUCAGACCUUUAGGCUGCCUAAUCCAGACAAAGGAGUCUUCCGAUAUGUGAAGCUAUAGAUUGACAACAACUGGGGAAACGCAGACUACACCUUUCUGUACAGCUUCAGGGUUCACGGUAACACAGAUAGAGGUGAAGGUAAAUCAAUCACAAAACAUCUUAAUUUGCCUGAAUUUAGCUUACCAAAUUAGGAUUCCAAAUAGGAAUUUUACUUUGAUUUGUAUUGCUUACAUUGUGCUUACUCAUACAAAACAAACAAUAUAUACACACUAUAAAUAAUAUAGAC